GAGUGCAAUUCAGAGUUUAAGAGAAGUUAGAGCUGUGCACAGUGACCUCAAUUACCUAGACAGACACCGGAGAGACUUCGAAAAACCCCGAUCGGAUCACAGAGCCCCUUAAACUGGGCUAACAUUUGGGCAGGAACAGGGUAAACGUGUGAUUUUGUUUUGAGCCUAUGGAAGGUGCGGGUGUUCCGCGACGCGCAGAUUUGAGAAGUGGAUGUUAAAGUCAGCUCCGAGCCCCUGGAGCGUGUCCAGAACUCAGCAGUUCUGCCCCAACCCCUAUCAACCUCGCAUUCCUUGAACCUCCCCCCAACCCCCACCUCACCACCCCGCUCCUGUUCAUCUUCAGCUGACCCACAUCUGGCCCGGUUCUGCUGCAAAUUCCAUUGCCAAGGAAGCAGGAACAGUGGGCUGAUCCAAGCCAGCCCCCAAAUUCCUGAAGCGUUAACAGGUCUCAGUGAGCAAGUGACCUCUUUGGAAGGCCUUCCACAGCCACAGUAGGU
This is a non-coding RNA of Sus scrofa (pig), 497 nucleotides long. Lineage: Eukaryota; Metazoa; Chordata; Mammalia; Artiodactyla; Suidae. The record is from RefSeq and is a predicted model, not a curated record.